CGAAGAUCAUACGCCGACUACAAGAUAAGCUAGCAAAGAAGAAAGAGGAACUGAAGAAUCUAAAAAACGAGGCGUCGACGGCGCAGUCUUCGCUGGCGAGCGCGCGGCUGGAGGCGUCGCGGCUGCAGGAGGAGCUGGCAGAGUCCCGCGCCGAGGCGGCGGCGGUGCGCGCCACACUCGCCUCCCGUGACGUCGAGCUGCACGAGCUGCGCGGCGUGCGCCGGGAGAUCGCCAGGCUCUCCGCCAAGCCCGACGCCGCCGCCUCCUGACCGAAAAUGAGAAUACAGCAUGGAGCUCGAAGCAAGUUUACGAAUUUUGUAUGUGAUGAUAAAGAAGAAGAAAUUAAUCAAAUUGAUUACAUUUUUAUGGCCACUAGCUUUUCUUAUGUCGUCAUAUCAACUGAUAUUGGUCGUCAUCGAAAUGGUCACUUGGUGAUAAUUUUUUCUAUCGAUUUUGUGAAAGAAUUUAUCGCUGUAUUCAGCUUUGUUAUUAAAUGAAGUAAGAAUGUAUUCUUCACAUUCUGUGAUGGAAAAUACACUUAUAA
Molecule: long non-coding RNA, 544 nt
Organism: Schistocerca gregaria
Lineage: Eukaryota; Metazoa; Arthropoda; Insecta; Orthoptera; Acrididae
Exons: 3
Source: RefSeq, a predicted model, not a curated record